AACGAACGCUGGCGGCAUGCCUAACACAUGCAAGUCGAACGAGACCUUCGGGUCUAGUGGCGCACGGGUGCGUAACGCGUGGGAAUCUGCCCUUCGGUUGGGAAUAACUGAGAGAAAUUUCAGCUAAUACCUUAUAAUGUCUUCGGACCAAAGAUUUAUCGCCGAGGGAUGAGCCCGCGUAGGAUUAGGUAGUUGGUGGGGUGAUGGCCUACCAAGCCGACGAUCCUUAGCUGGUCUGAGAGGAUGAUCAGCCACACUGGGACUGAGACACGGCCCAGACUCCUACGGGAGGCAGCAGUGGGGAAUAUUGGACAAUGGGCGAAAGCCUGAUCCAGCAAUGCCGCGUGAGUGAUGAAGGCCUUAGGGUUGUAAAGCUCUUUUACCCGGGAUGAUAAUGACAGUACCGGGAGAAUAAGCUCCGGCUAACUCCGUG
This 433-nucleotide ribosomal RNA is filed under the name uncultured bacterium. RNAcentral's name for it is "partial 16S ribosomal RNA". It matches the Rfam family "Bacterial small subunit ribosomal RNA", at positions 29 to 507 of the family's 1533-position model. The record is from RNAcentral.